UACAGAGGUGGCAAGCGUUGUUCGGAAUUACUGGGCGUAAAGGGCGCGUAGGCGGUCUUCUAAGUCUUGUGUGAAAUCCCUCGGCUCAACUGAGGAACUGCACGGGAUACUGGAUGACUUGAGUUCGGGAGAGGGAAGCGGAAUUCCGGGUGUAGCGGUGAAAUGCGUAGAUAUCCGGAGGAACACCGGUGGCGAAGGCGGCUUCCUGGACCGACACUGAUGCUGAGGCGCGAAAGCUAGGGGAGCAAACGGG
Molecule: ribosomal RNA, 253 nt
Filed under: uncultured bacterium
Lineage: Bacteria
Description: partial 16S ribosomal RNA
Rfam family: Bacterial small subunit ribosomal RNA
Source: RNAcentral